AGCUCAGUUGGUAGAGCAUGAGGCUCUUAAUCUCAGGUAGUGGGUUCAAGCCUCAC
Molecule: transfer RNA, 56 nt
Filed under: Cricetulus griseus (Chinese hamster)
Lineage: Eukaryota; Metazoa; Chordata; Mammalia; Rodentia; Cricetidae
Rfam family: tRNA
About the family: Transfer RNA (tRNA) molecules are approximately 80 nucleotides in length. Their secondary structure includes four short double-helical elements and three loops (D, anti-codon, and T loops).
Source: Rfam by way of RNAcentral